AUGCGAUAAGUAGUGUGAAUUGCAGAAUUCCGUGAAUCAUCGAGUUCUUGAACGCAUAUUGCGUCCCUUGGCAUUCCAAGGGGCAUGCCUGUCCGAGUGUCAUUGAAAACUUUCAGGUUUUGGAUUUAUCCACUUUCUGGUUUUGAGUUCGGAGCACUCUCGAUGUUCCAAUUCCAAAUGAAAUGGCGCAAAUGGUGGUUGUCGGUUCCGUGUAAUAAGUAUUAUCCUUCACAAGUCGAUACAUCAUUUGUCGCUCUACUUUUAAUGACGCUCCUGCUUAUGACCUCGGAUCAGGUAGGGAUACCCGCUGAACUUAA
This 317-nucleotide ribosomal RNA is filed under the name uncultured Pyronemataceae. RNAcentral's name for it is "eukaryotic LSU rRNA". The stretch from base 1 to 102 matches the Rfam family "5.8S ribosomal RNA", at positions 53 to 154 of the family's 154-position model. The record is from RNAcentral. Lineage: Eukaryota; Fungi; Ascomycota; Pezizomycetes; Pezizales; Pyronemataceae.